RNAcentral lists this ribosomal RNA (505 nucleotides) under uncultured bacterium. Its description in RNAcentral is "partial 16S ribosomal RNA". It matches the Rfam family "Bacterial small subunit ribosomal RNA", at positions 28 to 507 of the family's 1533-position model. The record is from RNAcentral.
GACGAACGCUGGCGGCGUGCCUAAUACAUGCAAGUAGAACGCACAGUUUAUACCGUAGCUUGCUACACCAUAGACUGUGAGUUGCGAACGGGUGAGUAACGCGUAGGUAACCUGCCUGGUAGCGGGGGAUAACUAUUGGAAACGAUAGCUAAUACCGCAUAAUAUUAAUUAUUGCAUGAUAAUUAAUUGAAAGGUGCAAUUGCACCACUACCAGAUGGACCUGCGUUGUAUUAGCUAGUAGGUGAGGUAACGGCUCACCUAGGCGACGAUACAUAGCCGACCUGCGAGGGUGAUCGGCCACACUGGGACUGGGACACGGCCCAGACUCCUACGGGAGGCAGCCGUAGGGGAUCUUCGGCAAUGGACGCAAGUCUGACCGAGCAACGCCGCGUGAGUGAAGAAGGUUUUCGGAUCGUAAAGCUCUGUUGUAAGAGAAGAACGGGUGUGAGAGUGGAAAGUUCACACUGUGACGGUAUCUUACCAGAAAGGGACGGCUAACUACGUG